CCCGCUAUAGUUUAUUUAAAACACUGAAUUGCAAAUUCAAGAAAGAAAUUGAAAUUUCUAGCGAGU
Molecule: transfer RNA, 66 nt
Filed under: Melarhaphe neritoides
Lineage: Eukaryota; Metazoa; Mollusca; Gastropoda; Littorinimorpha; Littorinidae
Description: tRNA-Cys
Source: RNAcentral